UACGGAGGGUGCGAGCGUUGUCCGGAAUCACUGGGCUUAAAGGGCGCGUAGGCGGCUCGCGAGGUCGGGGGUGAAAUCCCACGGCUUAACCGUGGAAGUGCCUUCGAUACCGGCGGGCUGGAGGAAGGUAGGGGUGCGCGGAACUUCUGGUGGAGCGGUGAAAUGCGUUGAUAUCAGAAGGAACGCCGGCGGCGAAAGCGGCGCACUGGACCUUUUCUGACGCUGAGGCGCGAAAGCCAGGGGAGCAAACGGG
RNAcentral lists this ribosomal RNA (253 nucleotides) under uncultured bacterium. RNAcentral describes it as "partial 16S ribosomal RNA". It matches the Rfam family "Bacterial small subunit ribosomal RNA", at positions 524 to 776 of the family's 1533-position model. The record is from RNAcentral.